RNAcentral lists this long non-coding RNA (501 nucleotides) under Numida meleagris (helmeted guineafowl). RNAcentral describes it as "lncRNA (ENSNMEG00000017442.1)". The record is from RNAcentral. Lineage: Eukaryota; Metazoa; Chordata; Aves; Galliformes; Numididae.
AUCACAAGCCCGACGCCCUUGAUCUAAGCCCUCACAGGGACAACUGUUUGUCAAAUGCCUCGGAAGAAGAUCUUUCUGUUCCCAAGUUUUCUGCCCAAGGAUGAGGUGCCAGAAUUUAUACGGGCAGAUCUCGCUGAGCAACAAGAGGCCCGUGAGCGCCAGUUCCUUCGUGGCCGAUUUCCUCCCAUCAGGACAAGUGACCUUGACCUGCUGGCAGAAGAAAGGAAUUCAGUGGGGACUGCGAGUGUGCUGCCGCCUAUUGGGAAGAGCCAGGCACCGAGGCGCCUGGAGAUGAAAGAAAGGGAGGGAGUAGUCAGGCUCCCUCCUCUGCAGGGCCAGCAUGGAACACAACUGGCAAAGCAGGGAUCCGCAGAGCCCCGAGUGCAGCAGCGCUUCCCCCCGCUGAGGAGCACCACGCAGGAGAGGGAGAAACCAUGUGCUCUGAAAGAGAAAGUCUCCUGCAAGAAGGCUAGCAAGGAGAUUACUUGCCAGCCUCCUUGA